GCACUCCGAUCCAAAUCUACCUCCUUUGGCCGUUUGAUUAUGAGUUUUUUGUGAAGCUGUUCUUUUUCUGUUUCAACUGCUGAUCUAAUUAUGGUGGCAGAGCGUCUGGGAAAUUCCGUUCUCUCCCUAUCCAUAUUUGUUGGUGGUCGUAUUACAAUGGAUGGUUUAUGAGCUUCAAGUGAAACCUUUUUUGCAUCAGGAGGUCGUAUUACAAUUGAGGGUUUAUGAGACUCAAAUUGAAUGUCUUCGGUUCUCUUCUUAGAAAAUGUAAUCUUGUUAACUUUAACAAUAGACUUCCCAGUUUCAUUGUCAGAAUUGACUGGCAAGUCAGAAGUCUGUGGCAGUGC
Molecule: long non-coding RNA, 347 nt
Filed under: Cucumis sativus (cucumber)
Lineage: Eukaryota; Viridiplantae; Streptophyta; Magnoliopsida; Cucurbitales; Cucurbitaceae
Description: long non-coding RNA (CSAT_LNC002848)
Source: RNAcentral